UUCAGUCAACUUUGGGUUUCCGUACGUGCAAUUUAUCCCGGACCGAUGACGGAUCACACGUACCUCGAAAGCGGGCCACAAACUAACCCAAAUCCCUGUUGGAUAGUCCCCAUCUACUGAGAACACUAGACCCAAGUGAAUUGAAUAAAGUGCUGCGAAAUAAAUCACUCCAACUAAUUAGGAGAUCUAAAAAGGAUAUAUACAUAUAUACCAUGAAAUCGGACGCUUGCCAUUGAUAUUGUCCUGUCACAGCAGUAUUGUAACACUAUAUUAUAGUUUACUGCUGGGUCGGGGCAUUAACAUUGUUGAGCGUCAUUAGCAACGAGCGGCGGACAGGAAAACCUGAGAAAAACGCACGAAAGCGUUCUAUUCCGGCUUUGUGGAAAACAUACACACAUACAUGCACGCACGCAGGAGCUCGUCCAUUGCGAUUGUGUGUGUAUAUGAGCGACCGGAAAAAUCAAUUUUCCAUUUUUAAUUCAAAGCUCACACAGCACAGGACACUCGCACACACACGCACACAACGCACGUGCAUGUAUAUAUGAAAUGUACUUAUAUAUACGUGUAUGUGUGUGUAUCGGGCCAAAAAGGGAUAAGCAGGAUGCUGCAGAUUCUGCAGGACAAGCGAGAGGGACUGAGCGUGAGAAAGGGACAGCAGCAUCCAGAGAGAGAGAGAGCUAAGAGAGAGAUUCCGCAUACAGGGAUAAAUCCCAUUUUAUGUAGACAAAAGCUGACAAAUUAAUCAAAAUCAGUUAAAAAAUUAAACAAAAUUAUAGUUAUUAACCUUGGAAGUAGAGAGUUUGUUGGGACUUUUAGGGACUUCCGACUACUAUUUGUAUACAAGGCAUUUUGAAUAGAAGGCCAAAAAAUAAGCAACGACCACUCCCUGAUUUUUCGUGGAGUUUCUGGGUGGGCUUAAGAAAGGCAUUACGGGGGGUGCAGAGGCGUAGCAUCCGUUUUUUCCGCCCAGAAAAUUGUUGCCAACCCGAAAGGCCGAAAAAGUUCAGAGAAAUGUCCAAAAAGUUGCACCAGAAUCAGCAGAGCAAAAUUCGAGCAUCCGAGCAUCUUCAUCAACAACCCCUAAAUAUAAUCCAAAUGCAAUGCAUUAUCUGGGCAAAAGGGGCCGGCAUAAGGAUACCAAACCAAACAACAAAAUCCAAAAGGAUGACAAAGAACGAUGAUGAAUUGGGAGAUUGAGGGCAGGGCAGGGCAGAGCAGGGACAGCUGAAAAAUGGCAUUUAAGUGCAGUUCGGCUCGAAAGGUCCUGGGGGGCACCUGGGAAUCUCUCGCUAGGGGUGGCUGCUCUCUCUUUCUCUCGAAAAUCUCACGUUUCUGCAGUUUGCUGAUUAUGAUGAUGAUGGCCUAGCUAUAUGGAACUCAAUCCAUAAAGAGGGGGUGAGAUUCGAAACUUGCCGGCGUGCUAUGCACAUGCUGUUGCUAUUUCAUCAUUGCCGUUUUGGGCUUAUGCCCCUGUCAGCGAGGAUCAAAGCAGUUUUGGGCGUUUCUCGGCAGCUGUGCGUCUGUAUGCGUGUGUAUCUGUGUCCUGUGCCCUGUGUCCUUUGCCUAAAUACUUCGAAAUUGGCCAAGCGUUUGUUGUGCACAUUAAAUUGACAACGCUUAGCUGUGCUUGAGGUAGCCAAACUGUUUCUACAUGCGAAAAGGGUUCUCAAAUCAUCCUGUGCAUCCUUGUGCCAUGAUUAAGGAUUAAGGGUUGCUGCAUUUAAUAUGCAACGACGGAUGUGAAGUGCUUUUGUUUGAAGCGAAAAUGUCACAGUUGACAUGCAAGCCAUGAGUUGGAAUACUUAAUUCGCAGAGGAUUACUCAUCUACAUUUUACAGCAUUUCGAAGGGAUUAUCUGCAUGUUGCAUAAUGGCUUCAUAUUAAACAUGUUUAUUUUUAUCCAAAUACACAGGAUUCUCAUAGGAAGAGCACUUGAUUAAGGACGAUGUCAUUUUACCUAAAUAAACUUGUCAAUGAGUUCAUUAAUUUUUAGUCAUAAAUCCUUUCUAUGUUGCCUGACAACCUAUAUAUUUAGAGAACCCUCCAUUAGCCCCUUUAAAUAAUUAAUUGUCAAAAUAAAACAAAAAAAAAAAGAGGAACCAGUUUCAGACACAAAAAACAAUAAACGGAAGCUGGCGAUAAAAAGUGCGGAAAUUACGUUGACCUAAAAAUAAAAUUGCCAACCAAGUUUGCCGGCAUUGCCACCUAGACAAACACAUAGAAGGGUACAAGAGAAAAAGAGAGAGAGAGGGAAGGGUACGGAGAGAGAGACGGCAGGAUACGCACUUGCACUCAUGCACCUCAAAAAACAUGAAAAGGUAAACGCUCAACUCACACAAACGCACAUGACAUCAAAAGAACCGGCAGUGGAUUCGUCAGGGAUAAGAAGGAUAUAUAUGUGGACAAGGGUCCUUUCGAGGCUGGCUGUGCACGUAAAUGCGUGGAAGAGCUGAAGAAGCGAAGGGUUAAGGUAAGUGGUUCCCAGUAACCACCGACGACGACACGUCCUCCACCCACAGCCAUAUGCAAAUUGUCGGUGCUUUUGUGAGCUUAUUAAGUGCUUGAAAGUGCAUUACAAAAAAUAUACGCCCACACGCAGUGCAGAGGAGGGGAUGAACGUUGGACGGGAGGAAUGGGGGAUCAAGGACCUGCGGCCGGAAAAAUGCUUUCAAGUCAACCCACUCGGAAAUGAGAACCCGGCAACGGUUGCUCCCUUUUCUCGCUCUCUUACGCCGAAU
This is a non-coding RNA of Drosophila melanogaster (fruit fly), 2738 nucleotides long. The record is from Ensembl. Lineage: Eukaryota; Metazoa; Arthropoda; Insecta; Diptera; Drosophilidae.